This 522-nucleotide unclassified non-coding RNA is filed under the name Hevea brasiliensis (rubber tree). The record is from RNAcentral. Lineage: Eukaryota; Viridiplantae; Streptophyta; Magnoliopsida; Malpighiales; Euphorbiaceae.
GCCACCGACAUACGAUGCUACGCUCGCAGUCGAUAUAAUUGACCCGGUUUUGGCUGGAAUCAUGGCCUGGGCUGCAUGUUUAAUGCCGAGGAAGACGCCGGUGACGUUGAUGCUGAGGACUCGGUCAAAGUCGUGUCUAUCAUUGUCGAUGAUUCGAGGCUUGCUGGGGUCAGCUAUGCCAGCAUUGUUCAUCAUGAUGUCCAGCUUCCCAAAGGUUUCCACGGCGGCUACCACCGCUGCUUGGACUUGGGAUUCGUCUGUGACAUCACAAUGGACAUAGAGGGAGUUGGUCGGGCCGAGCACGGUGGCACACAGUGUGUGACCGAGGUUGUCUUGAAUGUCGGCGACGACUACUUUAGCGCCAUGGUGAACGAAGAGUUUUGCUGUGCAUUCACCAAUCCCACUUGCACCGCCGGUUAUUAGGGCUACUUUUCCCUCUAGCCUCAUUGGGCCUGUUGUUGUGGAGAUAACCUCACUGCCUCUCAUUUAUUCUUCUUCUUAGAGAGAGAGAUCAGAGAGGAU